This 253-nucleotide ribosomal RNA is filed under the name uncultured bacterium. Its description in RNAcentral is "partial 16S ribosomal RNA". It matches the Rfam family "Bacterial small subunit ribosomal RNA", at positions 524 to 776 of the family's 1533-position model. The record is from RNAcentral.
UACAGAGGUCCCAACCGUUGUUCGGAUUCAUUGGGCGUAAAGGGUGCGUAGGCGGCGGGGCAAGUCAGGUGUGAAAUCUCGGGGCUCAACCCCGAAACUGCACUUGAUACUGCCUUGCUCGAGUACUGGAGAGGAGACUGGAAUUUACGGUGUAGCAGUGAAAUGCGUAGAUAUCGUAAGGAAGACCAGUGGCGAAGGCGAGUCUCUGGACGGUUACUGACGCUGAGGCACGAAGGCCAGGGGAGCAAACGGG